UACGUAGGGGCCUAGCGUUGUCCGGAUUUAUUGGGCGUAAAGGGCGCGUAGGCGGCUUGAUGUGUCAAAGGUGAAAUCCCUCGGCUCAACUGAGGAACUGCCUUUGAAACUGUCUGGCUUGAGGCCGGGAGAGGGUAGCGGAAUUCCCAGUGUAGCGGUGAAAUGCGUAGAUACUGGGAGGAACACCGGUGGCGAAGGCGGCUACCUGGACCGGUUCUGACGCUGAUGCGCGAAAGCGUGGGUAGCAAACAGG
RNAcentral lists this ribosomal RNA (253 nucleotides) under uncultured bacterium. Its description in RNAcentral is "partial 16S ribosomal RNA". It matches the Rfam family "Bacterial small subunit ribosomal RNA", at positions 524 to 776 of the family's 1533-position model. The record is from RNAcentral.